GGGUUCUUGUCGGGGUGCCUCGAGUCGGAGGCUGAGAUCGGAGAGUUCCGGAUCCCGUUGAACCUGAUCAGGUUAAGGCCUGCGUAGGGAACAAGAGGUAUCCACCU
RNAcentral lists this non-coding RNA (107 nucleotides) under Pseudomonas fulva. Its description in RNAcentral is "TPP sequence". It matches the Rfam family "TPP riboswitch aptamer (THI element)". From Rfam's summary of the family: Vitamin B(1) in its active form thiamin pyrophosphate (TPP) is an essential coenzyme that is synthesised by coupling of pyrimidine and thiazole moieties in bacteria. The previously detected thiamin-regulatory element, thi box was extended, resulting in a new, highly conserved RNA secondary structure, the THI element, which is widely distributed in eubacteria and also occurs in some archaea. Analysis of operon structures identified a large number of new candidate thiamin-regulated genes, mostly transporters, in various prokaryotic organisms. The record is from RNAcentral. RNAcentral also lists the same sequence under 1 other name. Lineage: Bacteria; Pseudomonadati; Pseudomonadota; Gammaproteobacteria; Pseudomonadales; Pseudomonadaceae.